RNAcentral lists this long non-coding RNA (350 nucleotides) under Homo sapiens (human). Lineage: Eukaryota; Metazoa; Chordata; Mammalia; Primates; Hominidae. The record is from RNAcentral.
AGACCUUUGUUCAUGUGUUUAUCUGCUGACCUUCUCUCCACUAUUAUCCUAUGACCCUGCCACAUCACCCUCUCCGAGAAACACCCAAGAAUGAUCAAUAAAUACUAACGGAACUCAGAGGCCGAGGCUUUUCUCUAGGGUGAAGGUACGCUCGAGUGUGGUCAUUGAGGACAAGUCGACGAAGAGAUCCUGAGUACGUCUACAGUCAGCCUUACGGUAAGCUUGUGCACUCGGAAGAAGCCAGGGUAACAAUGGGGCAAACUAAAAGUAAAUAUGCCUCUUAUCCCAGCUUUAUUAAAAUUCUUUUAAAAAGAGGGGGAGUUAGAGUAUCUACAAAAAAUCUAAUCAAG